UGGAAUUGCUAGUAAUCGCGGAUCAGCAUGCCGCGGUGAAUACGUUCCCGGGCUUUGUACACACCGCCCGUCAAACCAUGAAAGUUGGGAACACCCGAAGCCGGUGAGCUAACCGCAAGGAGGCAGCCGUCGAAGGUGGGUUCAAUGAUUGGGGUUAAGUCGUAACAAGGUAGC
RNAcentral lists this ribosomal RNA (174 nucleotides) under uncultured bacterium. Its description in RNAcentral is "partial 16S ribosomal RNA". It matches the Rfam family "Bacterial small subunit ribosomal RNA", at positions 1327 to 1500 of the family's 1533-position model. The record is from RNAcentral.